RNAcentral lists this ribosomal RNA (465 nucleotides) under uncultured Klebsiella sp. RNAcentral's name for it is "bacterial SSU rRNA". It matches the Rfam family "Bacterial small subunit ribosomal RNA", at positions 338 to 795 of the family's 1533-position model. The record is from RNAcentral. Lineage: Bacteria; Pseudomonadati; Pseudomonadota; Gammaproteobacteria; Enterobacterales; Enterobacteriaceae.
CCUACGGGUGGCAGCAGUGGGGAAUAUUGCACAAUGGGCGCAAGCCUGAUGCAGCCAUGCCGCGUGUGUGAAGAAGGCCUUCGGGUUGUAAAGCACUUUCAGCGGGGAGGAAGGCGGUGAGGUUAAUAACCUCAUCGAUUGACGUUACCCGCAGAAGAAGCACCGGCUAACUCCGUGCCAGCAGCCGCGGUAAUACGGAGGGUGCAAGCGUUAAUCGGAAUUACUGGGCGUAAAGCGCACGCAGGCGGUCUGUCAAGUCGGAUGUGAAAUCCCCGGGCUCAACCUGGGAACUGCAUUCGAAACUGGCAGGCUAGAGUCUUGUAGAGGGGGGUAGAAUUCCAGGUGUAGCGGUGAAAUGCGUAGAGAUCUGGAGGAAUACCGGUGGCGAAGGCGGCCCCCUGGACAAAGACUGACGCUCAGGUGCGAAAGCGUGGGGAGCAAACAGGAUUAAAUACCCUGGUAGUC